AUUCCAUCUUCAGAGACAGUUUAGGCCUUCAGUGUUACCCUGGAACCAUGUUGAUCAGGAGGUCCAGUUUUCCCAGUACCAUUUUUUGAAGAUGCUAUCUUUCCUCCAGUGUGUAUUUUUGUCAUAUUUGUGAAAUAUAUGACUGUAUUUGAAGCAGAGAGCAGAACAAGGCAAUGGAACUAUGAAAAGAUGUUGAUCAAAAAGAGCAAUACUUCAGUUAGAAAGGAGGAACGGUUGGAAAUAUUUGAGAGGAUGGAUGUCUCAGUGAGCUCAUUUGAUCCACAUUGUAUUUAUCUAUCAUAGCAUCAUUUGGUAUCCUGUAAGUAUAUGCAAUUACAUUACACCAACAGCCAAUAAAAAUAAAUGAAAAUGAGCAA
Peromyscus maniculatus bairdii (prairie deer mouse) is the source of this 377-nucleotide long non-coding RNA. RefSeq lists it as uncharacterized. NCBI's taxonomy places the organism in Eukaryota, Metazoa, Chordata, Mammalia, Rodentia, Cricetidae. The record is from RefSeq and is a predicted model, not a curated record.